This 440-nucleotide ribosomal RNA is filed under the name uncultured bacterium. Its description in RNAcentral is "partial 16S ribosomal RNA". It matches the Rfam family "Bacterial small subunit ribosomal RNA", at positions 338 to 795 of the family's 1533-position model. The record is from RNAcentral.
CCUACGGGAGGCAGCAGUGGGGAAUAUUGCACAAUGGGGGAAACCCUGAUGCAGCGACGCCGCGUGAGCGAUGAAGUAUUUCGGUAUGUAAAGCUCUAUCAGCCGGGAAGAAAAUGACGGUACCUGACUAAGAAGCCCCGGCUAACUACGUGCCAGCAGCCGCGGUAAUCCGUCAGGGGCAAGCGUUAUCCGGAUUUACUGGGUGUAAAGGGAGCGUAGACGGUCGUGCAAGUCAGAGGUGAAAGCCCGGGGCUCAACACCGGGACUGCAUUUGAAACUGUCCGGCUAGAGUGAAGGAGAGGUAAGCGGAAUUCCUAGUGUAGCGGUGAAAUGCGUAGAGAUUAGGAGGAACACCAGUGGCGAAGGCGGCUUACUGGACGAUGACUGACGUUGAGGCUCGAAAGCGUGGGGAGCAAACAGGAUUAGAUACCCCUGUAGUC